Molecule: non-coding RNA, 69 nt
Organism: Podarcis lilfordi (Lilford's wall lizard)
Lineage: Eukaryota; Metazoa; Chordata; Lepidosauria; Squamata; Lacertidae
Source: the annotation of a GenBank genome assembly
AGCAUACUUCAGUGGUACAGUAUUUGCUUUGUAUGCAGAAGCUCCUAGGUUCAAUCUCUGGUAUCUCUA